RNAcentral lists this long non-coding RNA (1649 nucleotides) under Salmo salar (Atlantic salmon). RNAcentral's name for it is "lncRNA (ENSSSAG00000100654.1)". Lineage: Eukaryota; Metazoa; Chordata; Actinopteri; Salmoniformes; Salmonidae. The record is from RNAcentral.
UAUUUCCUGUUGUGCUUGUGCGUUUGUUUUGCACCGCAUGUUGUUUCCCCUGUGUUUGGGACACUUUAUUUUGUGUGCGCAUUAUUUCACUGUUUGGGGUGGCUUGUGUGUGCUCGCCUGUUUGAACCAUUAAAUAGCCACUUCCCUGUGCUCGCUGCUUCCUGCGUUUGAUUCCUCACUCACGACGCCCGAGCCUUACACACCCAAGGAUGAACCAGACUUGUGGAGGUCUACAAUUUUCUUUCUGAGGUCUUGGCUGUUUUCUUUUGAUUUUCCCAUGAUGUCAAGCAAAGACACACUGAGUUUGAAGGAUCUUGUUUGCAGACAUUCUGGUUAAACUGAUCCUGUGGGUGGAAGGCUUCUUGGCUGCCAUCUUCUUCGGCACACUGGUGGCCAUCUUGGCUUUGUGGGUUGGCAUCUCCGUGCCCCUUACCUUCGUGGGCGCCUAGCCUACUUCGGCCUCGAGGCCUGUGAUUGAGCUGCCAGUGCGAACCAACUAUAUCACUCGGCAGAUCUAUGAAAAUUGAUUAAUCACCAAGCCCGUGCCUGGAAUCGGCUUGGGGGGGCAUCCUGACCUUCGGCUGCAUCUGCAUCCAGCACUUCUUCAUCCUCAACAGCAUCUGAUAAGAACAAGGGUCAAGUCUGCUACUCAACCAUGAGCCUGAAUUUGCCUAGUGGUGCUCGUAUAAUGAUUCCUAAAGAAACAAACAAGAGGCUGCCGAGGGGAGGACGGCUUACAAUAAUAUCCGGAACGGAGUGAAUGGAAUGUCAUCAAACACAUGGAAACUAUGGAUAUGUCCGAAUACCCGUACUUGGGUUCUAAAUAGUAGCCAUUUGGGGUAUGCAAAUUGUUUUAUUUAUUAUUGUACGUGAAAUUUAACAAAUGUAGUAUGAUUUAAACGCCAAGAUGUCAUACUCAUUUAUGCUUUUAUGUAGUAGAAUUUUCUGCACACUAUUGAGGAACAGAAUUAUCUUUCCUGACACCUGUGUCUGACAACAGCUGAUAAUCAGCUGAGGGGACACGCUGUAGAAAAAUGUGUGAAUCUGUGUAAAUCAACGCAAUUGCGCAUUGUAUGAUGUAUACUCAGUAGGAUGAGCCUAGUAUGCUGAUAUUUGUUUCUUACUGCAUUUGUUUUUACUAAACAGUACAUUCUAAAUAGUGUGUAGUAUGAUUAGUACACAGUAUGUAGUUUAAGUAAGUAGUAGGCAAAACAGAUUUCGGACACAGCCCAUGUGUUUGAUGUAUUUGAUACAAUUCCACUCUUUCCGCUCCAGCCAUUACCACGAGCCCUUCCUCCCUAAUUAAAAUCAUCAUGAGUCUAUUGACGCACGCAUGCAGUCUGUUUAAGCUAGAGAUAUCUGUUUUUUGGCAUGGGCUGCAUCUCAAUCCUCCGCAUCCGCCUAUUUCAGCCUGACGCAUCUGCGGGGACAGGUGGCAGAGCUAGAGCAAUGUCUAUCAGACCAUGAGACAUCCCGUAAAUCGGGUCUUCUCACGAAAAACGCUGUAGCGUCCAAACAGUUUGACGGGAUAUGUCUGAAGGUAACCCAUACAAACGAAUGGAGGUAGUUUUGUGCCAACAAAAAUAAGGGGUUAAAUAUGUGUUUUGAAAAAAAUAUAGAUAUAUACAGCACCACUCAACAUUUUGGAC